RNAcentral lists this ribosomal RNA (468 nucleotides) under uncultured bacterium. RNAcentral's name for it is "partial 16S ribosomal RNA". It matches the Rfam family "Bacterial small subunit ribosomal RNA", at positions 28 to 507 of the family's 1533-position model. The record is from RNAcentral.
GACGAACGCUGGCGGCGUGCUUAACACAUGCAAGUCGAACGGAAAGGCCCUGCUUUUGUGGGGUGCUCGAGUGGCGAACGGGUGAGUAACACGUGAGUAACCUGCCCUUGACUUUGGGAUAACUUCAGGAAACUGGGGCUAAUACCGGAUAGGAGCUCCUGCUGCAUGGUGGGGGUUGGAAAGUUUCGGCGGUUGGGGAUGGACUCGCGGCUUAUCAGCUUGUUGGUGGGGUAGUGGCUUACCAAGGCUUUGAAGGGUAGCCGGCCUGAGAGGGUGGCCGGCCACAUGGGGACUGAGAUACGGCCCAGACUCCUACGGGAGGCAGCAGUGGGGAAUAUUGCACAAUGGGCGGAAGCCUGAUGCAGCAACGCCGCGUGCGGGAAGACGGCCUUCGGGUUGGAAACCGCUUUCGCCUGAGACGAAGCGUGAGUGACGGUAAUGGGUAAAGAAGCACCGGCUAACUACGUG